AUCACUAACCACUAGUUUAUUUUUUUUUUUUUUUAUUUUUUUUUUUUUUUUGAAAGAUCACUAAUCACUAGUUGAAAAAACUUAAAUGACACCAAAGCAAUGCAUUAGUUUUCCAUUCUUUUUGUCAUCAUCCAAUUCAAUUUCACAAUCUAGGGUUUUAUCCUUAAUUUUAUUCUCAAACACUCAUUUUAGGGUUCACCUAAACGCAUAUAGUGAACUAUUGUUUAUAGUUACUGAACUCGAUUUUGUUGCUAUGGAAUUAUACUAAUAGAAAAAAGAAAAAAGACUUAUAGAGAAAGACACCAAUUUUUAGUGGAUGCGUAGACCGAAAAAAACCCCAAUAAAAUGUGGUUAAUAAAUAAAAAUCGGAUUAGACAUAAAUAAUCCGUUAAAUGAAGAUCGGUGCCCAAAAAAUUCAAUGGUAGCGUUUUUCAUUUGAUCGGUUUUUUGAUUUUGCAUUUGAUUUUGAUUAGUAGUAUUAUUUUUAUUCCUUUUUUUUUAGUCAUUCAUUCUUACCCCAAUAGUUCAAUACGGCAAUACUACCUACCUAUGGCUAUUACAUAAUUUUUUUUUACCGAAGUAGUGACUAUGCGGUAAAUUUUUUUAUUUUUAUUUUUAUUGAAGAAAAUGAGGUAAAUGGUAAUACCCACUUAUGCAGUUAUGCGUAUGCUUCAUCUUUCUCCUCUCAAAAUCACUGUAUUAUAUCUCUCGUAAAAAGAAAAAAAAAAAAAAAAAAAAAAAGAAAAAACACCUCUUGUACUUCAUCUCUCUCAUCUCAAAGUUUUUCAAGUACUCAAUGACUCCAUCUUCCUCAUCACCUCCACGACUUCCUCACCUCCAUGCCUGAUUGCCUUCCUCCAUUUCACGGCCUUUGACACAUCAUCCUCGACCAUCGUCUGCAAGUCCUGGAUUAAAUUUUUGCGAUUAAUAAGGUAGAAUGCGAAUGAAAUUUCCUCAAGAUCGAAAAUAUGCAGCCUUAAUUCGAGGAAAAUCGAAAAUUCCAGACUGAAUUUCGAACCAAUUUCAGGGGUUUCAUGCCAUAAUUCAAGCAAAAAAAAAUUCGAAUCAAAUUCAAGUUAGGGUUUCUGGUUUAUUUAGCUUUGUGUUUUUUCGGGGCUUUUUUUAGUCCAAUUAUUCAUGUUAAAUGCUUUGAUUUCUCGGGGUUAAAUUGAUGCAAAUUGUUCAGCGGUUAAUUUUGAUGAAUCCUGUUUCCUCCAAAAUUCUAUUUUUUUCUGAGUAAAUAGGUGAAACAGCUUUUGAAUUUUGUUUAUAUAUAUAAAUUUGCUAACUUUGUGUUUCAUUUUGUAUGAUUUGUGUUUGAGUUUAUUUCAAUUUAGUUUUGCGUGAUUGAACUUGCAAUUCUAUUUUAAAGGUGAAAUUCCCUUUUUUCUUCUUUUAAUUGGGUUGUCUACAUCAAAAACAGUUUCAUCAACUAUUCAACUGGUGUGUCAAUGUUGCCACCCUCUGAGAACUUCUGAACUGUUAAUUCUUUCAACUCCUUAAGUCCCUGUUAGGAGUUUUGAGUUCAACAUAAAGGAAGCAACACUAUAAUCCGUAUUAGUAAUACUAAUUACAAAUUUAGGUCAGCUAUUUUACCAGAGAAUAUGGUAUCUGAUAGACAAGAAGCGUCUGCAUAUCUUGGGACUGUAGCAGCCUCUGUGACUCCUCAACCCCUUGCUCUGAAAAGGAACUCUCUCUUCCAAAGAGGCUUGCAGCCACAUAACUAUAGUCUUCCAGUAGUGCUCCAAAAAGGGUUAUCCAUAGCACUUGUUUCAGCAGCAACUAGUGGGAGUAAAAAUAUUAUCUUGGACUGAUAAUGGUCCUCAUGAGAGGUGGAAGAAAGAAUGUUCUUGUGGAUGUGCUGGAAUCUUUAAUGCUCCUGUUGCUCUAUCACUAUUUGCCAAAAUAUUUGAAGAGGUAUGCAUUCAUAACAGAAGUAGAAGUGGCUUAGGAUGGUCAGAGAAAGCAAAAUGUUUUAGAUGCUCGAGGGUUUGCCACUGUUGCUGUAUUUGGGCGCUGUUGCUGCCGCUACAACUACUGUUGGAACAUUGCUAUUGCUUCUGCUUCUGUCUUGUUGAUUAUUACUGCUUCAAUUGUAGUGUACUCUUAAACAUUUUUUUUUUUCAUUUUUUUGGAUGAACAGUGUAUAUUUACAAGCUAUUAAUGAAAAUAUCUAAGUUUUAUGUGUAUA
Long non-coding RNA from Chenopodium quinoa (quinoa), 2191 nucleotides. RefSeq lists it as uncharacterized. The transcript has 3 exons. The record is from RefSeq and is a predicted model, not a curated record. Lineage: Eukaryota; Viridiplantae; Streptophyta; Magnoliopsida; Caryophyllales; Amaranthaceae.